Molecule: small nucleolar RNA, 130 nt
Organism: Arvicanthis niloticus (Nile rat)
Lineage: Eukaryota; Metazoa; Chordata; Mammalia; Rodentia; Muridae
Product: small nucleolar RNA SNORA17
Source: RefSeq, a predicted model, not a curated record
CCUGCCCCUAGAGACAUUGCAGAUAUGACUGCUAUGUGACAUGUACAUUAGUAGGUGGCAGAAAGGAGAGAGGCUGUCUAUAGAGGCUGUUCUGACCUAUGGACAUCUGAAUGAUUGGUAGCCUAACAUU